GACGAACGCUGGCGGCGUGCUUAACACAUGCAAGUCGAACGGAAAGGCCCUGCUUUUGUGGGGUGCUCGAGUGGCGAACGGGUGAGUAACACGUGAGUAACCUGCCCUUGACUUUGGGAUAACUUCAGGAAACUGGGGCUAAUACCGGAUAGGAGCUCCUGCUGCAUGGUGGGGGUUGGAAAGUUUCGGCGGUUGGGGAUGGACUCGCGGCUUAUCAGCUUGUUGGUGGGGUAGUGGCUUACCAAGGCUUUGACGGGUAGCCGGCCUGAGAGGGUGACCGGCGAAGUGGGGACGGAGAUACGACACAGACUAGAACGGGAGGCAGAGGAGGAGAGUGGUGUACAGGGGACGGGAGCCUGAUGCAACAACGCCGCGUGGGGGAAGAGAGGAAUGGGGUAGGGAAGCGAAGGCGCCUGAGACGAGGCGUGAAUGACGGUAAUGGGAGAAGAAGCACCGGCUAACUACGUG
This 468-nucleotide ribosomal RNA is filed under the name uncultured bacterium. RNAcentral's name for it is "partial 16S ribosomal RNA". It matches the Rfam family "Bacterial small subunit ribosomal RNA", at positions 28 to 507 of the family's 1533-position model. The record is from RNAcentral.